RNAcentral lists this transfer RNA (69 nucleotides) under Rattus norvegicus (Norway rat). It matches the Rfam family "tRNA". From Rfam's summary of the family: Transfer RNA (tRNA) molecules are approximately 80 nucleotides in length. Their secondary structure includes four short double-helical elements and three loops (D, anti-codon, and T loops). Further hydrogen bonds mediate the characteristic L-shaped molecular structure. tRNAs have two regions of fundamental functional importance: the anti-codon, which is responsible for specific mRNA codon recognition, and the 3' end, to which the tRNAs corresponding amino acid is attached (by aminoacyl-tRNA synthetases). tRNAs cope with the degeneracy of the genetic code in two manners: having more than one tRNA (with a specific anti-codon) for a particular amino acid; and 'wobble' base-pairing, i.e. permitting non-standard base-pairing at the 3rd anti-codon position. The record is from Rfam by way of RNAcentral. Lineage: Eukaryota; Metazoa; Chordata; Mammalia; Rodentia; Muridae.
GGGGAUUUAGCUCAGUGGUAGAGUGCUUGCCUAGCAAGCACAAGGCCCUGGGUUCAGUCCCCAGCCCCG